AGAAAACAUAUAAAACAGGAACAAACAAAAGAUUGAACCGGUAUUAAUUAAAAAUCUCCCAACAAAGAAAAGGUCAGGACCAGACAGCUUCACAGCUUAAUU
Molecule: long non-coding RNA, 102 nt
Organism: Sapajus apella (tufted capuchin)
Lineage: Eukaryota; Metazoa; Chordata; Mammalia; Primates; Cebidae
Exons: 3
Source: RefSeq, a predicted model, not a curated record